This 468-nucleotide ribosomal RNA is filed under the name uncultured bacterium. RNAcentral describes it as "partial 16S ribosomal RNA". It matches the Rfam family "Bacterial small subunit ribosomal RNA", at positions 28 to 507 of the family's 1533-position model. The record is from RNAcentral.
GACGAACGCUGGCGGCGUGCUUAACACAUGCAAGUCGAACGGAAAGGCCCUGCUUUUGUGGGGUGCUCGAGUGGCGAACGGGUGAGUAACACGUGAGUAACCUGCCCCUGACUUUGGGAUAACUUCAGGAAACUGGGGCUAAUACCGGAUAGGAGCUCCUGCUGCAUGGUGGGGGUUGGAAAGUUUCGGCGGUUGGGGAUGGACUCGCGGCUUAUCAGCUUGUUGGUGGGGUAGUGGCUUAGCAAGGCCUUGACGGGUAGCCGGCCUGAGAGGGUGACAGGCCACAUUGGGACUGAGAUACGGCCCAGACUCCUACGGGAGGCAGCAGUGGGGAAUAUUGCACAAUGGGCGGAAGCCUGAUGCAGCAACGCAGCGUGCGGGAUGACGGCCUUCGGGUUGUAAACCGCUUUCGCCUGUGACGAAGCGUGAGUGACGGUAAUGGGUAAAGAAGCACCGGCUAACUACGUG